UGCCCUUCGACGGCUUUUCUGCCGUCAACUCGGAAGACUCGUCAAUUGACCCUUCCGCUACUCGGCUCCGUCUUGUUUCCCUGCUGCCGAAGGUAAUGCUACAGCAAGAAGAACGACGAGCACCGGUAGAAAGAAGGCGGCAAAGAUCUGUCAGAACUCCUGUCAGGAGGCACUCGGACGCCCAUACCCUAUAUGAUUCGAUUUCUUGAGACUCGCACGGAACGGAGAUGAGAAGGCUCUCAAGGAGGCAGAUUGAGGUACAGACUUCGUUGACUUCAAGCUCAGGAGAUCCCUCUCAGCUCAGAAGAAGUUGCUGGAGUUUGAGCUGCAGCUCCAUGUUUCUUCAGUUUCUCUCUACGGAACUUGGCAUAGUCCGAGAUCAGGCCGACAUCCACUUCGUGCUUCAUCUUCUUUAACAGGCUCCUCAGAAGCUGCAGCAUCCAAGCUAACAUUGUCAAACCUUUUAGCCCUUGUCAAUCCAUCAAAAUCCUAAGGAGCAUUGAAUUAUUGGCUUUGCAGUCAUCGAUCUUACUGUAUCAGCAAUACUUCUGAGGACACCUUCUGGGACUAGUUGAAGGACCGGAGGAAGGAUCAUGCUGAUGCCCAUCUCCAGAUGACCCAUGAGCCUCCUGCUGCUGCUGCUCCGAUCUGGAUACAGCACUCCCUGGACACUGAGAGCAAAAUGUGGUGGCAUCUGGAUGUCCUGCAGGCCUUGGAGCUCCCACCUGGUCUGCAAGCACACGUCGGACGCUUGAGAUGAUUCCGAGAACAAAUGGUACUUAGUUGAGACCGCAGAUGAAUGAUCCAACUAAUUACAGCUUGAAGCACCAGGACACUGGUGGCAUGUCCAGGGACACCGGGCGGGUAAUCUUCCCCACUGGAUUUGUGUCUCAGCCGCAUGACGACAACCGGGUUCGCCGAUGCAAAGAGGAAGUGGAUCGGCAGCAUCUGUAUCCUCCACUCUUCCUGCAAUGAGCCAGUUGUUACAGUUGGUGCAGAAGGACGGAAACAGAGACGAAAAGGGCUCACAUCAUUCAGUCUCUUGCUUCUUCGUUUGUCUGGAAACAUGGCUCGGAAGACUCGAGGUCGAUCGCAGAGGUAUUCAUCAAAGGAGACCUGCAUUGUAAGUGCUUCUGGUGAGAAAAAUCACUGCCAAUUCAUCUGAAAGUUGAAGCCGAGUGAUGAAACAGGAUCUGUUCGCUCGAUGUUCUUGAUACACAGACUGAGAAGGAGAUGCCUGCCCCGGGAGUUUCGUGGAGGGGAAUGUCGGUGGAGAUGUUGGAGGAGAAGGUGACGACGCCGGGCCGGGAAUCGAAGCCACUGAUGUUGGCGUCAUUGGCUGAGCUCCUGGCUGCAGUUGGAAGGGGUGGAGGAUGAGACCAGUGAUGCAAUCUGUGCUUCUUGGUGCUGGCCAUCUCUUCCUUCCUCUUCGGCCAUCUCCAAAUGGCAGCGUCUCUUCUACUACCUGCAGCUGUUUUGAAGCAGUAGCAUAUAUCAUAUGGUCCACUGUGGGCAUCGAAGCUGAGGCACGGGUCUGGGCAGCAGCUUUACCUCCUCCACGGACAAGGGGAAGUCUGCUGAGGCUGGAAGAUCCACCAGCUGCUGCAACCUCAACCAUCCCUUCUCUGUCUUUCUCCCUCUCUCUAGGUCUCAAAGAAGGCAAAUUUAUCAUGUCCCAGCGAAAGCUAUCUGUAAGAGCAUAGAUUGGGAAGAAAAGGACCAAUGAGAUGUGAGGUUUGAGAUUUUGUCAGAUUUCAA
This is a long non-coding RNA of Musa acuminata AAA Group (dessert banana), 1758 nucleotides long. RefSeq lists it as uncharacterized. The transcript has 2 exons. Lineage: Eukaryota; Viridiplantae; Streptophyta; Magnoliopsida; Zingiberales; Musaceae. The record is from RefSeq and is a predicted model, not a curated record.